Molecule: ribosomal RNA, 682 nt
Filed under: uncultured marine group I thaumarchaeote
Lineage: Archaea; Thermoproteati; Nitrososphaerota
Description: SSU rRNA
Rfam family: Archaeal small subunit ribosomal RNA
Source: RNAcentral
GGACGGGAAUAACCUCGGGAAACUGAGUAUAAUGCCCGAUAGAACAUUAUGCCUGGAAGGGUUUAUGUUCCAAAUGAUUUAUCGCCGUAGGAUGGGACUGCGGCCUAUCAGUUUGUUGGUGAGGUAAUGGCCCACCAAGACUAUUACAGGUACGGGCUCUGAGAGGAGUAGCCCGGAGAUGGGUACUGAGACACGGACCCAGGCCCUAUGGGGCGCAGCAGGCGAGAAAACUUUGCAAUGUGCGAAAGCACGACAAGGUUAAUCCGAGUGGUUUCUGCUAAAGGAACCUUUUGUUAGUCCUAAAAACACUAACGAAUAAGGGGUGGGCAAGUUCUGGUGUCAGCCGCCGCGGUAAAACCAGCACCUCAAGUGGUCAGGAUGAUUAUUGGGCCUAAAGCAUCCGUAGCCUGCUCUGUAAGUUUUCGGUUAAAUCUGUAUGCUCAACAUACAGGCCGCCGGGAAUACUGCAGAGCUAGGGAGUGGGAGAGGUAGACGGUACUCGGGAGGAAGUGGUAAAAUGCUUUGAUCUCUCGAUGACCACCUGUGGCGAAGGCGGUCUACCAGAACACGUCCGACGGUGAGGGAUGAAAGCUGGGGGAGCAAACCGGAUUAGAUACCCGGGUAGUCCCAGCUGUAAACGAUGCAGACUCGAUGAUGCAUUGGCAUAAUAGCCGGUGCAGUG